GUCUUCGUAGUAUAUCCAAAUACAUUGGUCUUGUAAACCAAAAACGGAGAAUGAACACCUCCCUAAGACU
This 70-nucleotide transfer RNA is filed under the name Catagonus wagneri (Chacoan peccary). Its description in RNAcentral is "tRNA-Thr". It matches the Rfam family "tRNA". Rfam says of the family: Transfer RNA (tRNA) molecules are approximately 80 nucleotides in length. Their secondary structure includes four short double-helical elements and three loops (D, anti-codon, and T loops). Lineage: Eukaryota; Metazoa; Chordata; Mammalia; Artiodactyla; Tayassuidae. The record is from RNAcentral.